Molecule: long non-coding RNA, 2260 nt
Filed under: Eucalyptus grandis
Lineage: Eukaryota; Viridiplantae; Streptophyta; Magnoliopsida; Myrtales; Myrtaceae
Description: long non-coding RNA (EGRA_LNC000615)
Source: RNAcentral
GUAUUUAAAGCAAACGGAGCAAUCAAUGUGUAACCCACAUGGUACCUAAAACCGUUUUGUAGACAAUUGAUAAAAGAUAUCAUUUCAUGAAGGAAGCACCUCAAGAUUCCUAACGCAUGAAUUUCUAAAAAUAUUAAGAACAUGAACAAGUCAAUCAAGAAUAGAUCAUAGUAGCAUGUCACACCGUCAUUCUACAACAUAUUGAAAGCAAUUUGGACAAAUCUACUAUUUCAUCUUACGACUAGCAACAACUAGCCACAGAAAAGACAGCAUUGCAGUUCAAGACAAAUUCCAGAUUUCAAAGCUCAAUUUGAAAAAAGGAAAGGCAGGGCAAAUGAUGGGCAAAUUGGACAAACUAGGCAUCGUUAGAAAGCUUAAGGUGUCCUUUACGAAUUCCUAUUAGGUGACAAUUGCAAUUUAAGUCUUUUUCUAGUUCAAGCAAAGCCAUUUGUAUAAAUGGUCAGAUCAGAUCAUAACAAGCAGAACACAUCAGCAGAUUAGUGCUCUUUGCAAGAAGCAUCAGGCAGGGCAAAUGAUGGUCAAAUCGCACAUAUAAUAUGUCUAUGGAAAGCUUGAGAAGUCUAUUACAAAUCACUAGAAGAUGUUAAGUCCUAAUAACAUCACCUAGCAGUUCAUAUCAAGCGGUUUACACAGAAGGUCAUUCAGAACAGAGAGCAAGUCAGAACACCAAAAUUUUCCAGAAAACUGGUGCUAAAUGCCGAGCUACUUUCAGGUAGUAAACGACAUCGGAUCGGAACGUUCUGUGGGUCGUUGGAAAGGUCUUUGAGUCUUCUUCAACUCUCGUGAAUACAUCGAACACAGAAAACCACAGCAACCAGCUCAUAUCAGGUCAUUUGCACAAAAGGUCAUCCGAAACAGAGAAUCAAUCAGAACAGCAAAUCAACCUUAAAACUACUGCAGAAUUGACAGACUUUGUAGGUGUUUUUCGAUGACUGAACGACAUCCGUUCAGGGCAUGCAACAUAUCAAAUCGAAGCUCUAGAAGUAUAUUUUAUAUGUCUAGAAGGACUCGAGGUCAAAAAACCUCAUCUAGCACCUCUUUUCAGCCGAAACAGUGAGUCACUCAUCCGAAAUCGAAAAUCACAGAAUCUCAGCAUCCAACUGCAAUCAAUUCCAGAUCAUACAAACAUCGAUUUUAAUUAGAUUUGCAAAGCAUCCUGGCCCCGAACCUUCAUUGUCGAUCAUGAAUCACGACACGAGAAACUCUCGCCUCAUCGGAUGAUAUUAAAUGGAGUUUCAUGGCACCCACCUUGGUCCUUAAUGAAUCGGCCAAGAACUGACCUUCGGAGAUGUCCACCAUUUAGUGACAAUGAAGUUGCUAUUUAACAAAAAAAACAUGUACUGAAAUCAGUGGAGGAUCUGAAUCUAAUAACACUCCUUACUGAAAUAGAAAAGAGGAAACCAAACACUUAGCUUCGAUUUUGUUAUUGGAACUCCUGGAAAAUGAAGAACGCUGGCCUUUGAUUCUGUGAUCCUCAAACUCAUCGAAUGAACGCCUCGGCUGCCGAUUUGAAGAUGGUGUAUGCUUCUUUCGAGUUGCAAUCUAGACGCGUUUUUCUCAGCUUCUUCUUCAACAAAAUCAGUGAAAUUAAAUGUCAACAGAAUCUGCUGAAAUCAGAAUCUUUGCGCAACAAAUGUACAAGUAAAGAUUGAGAAGACUCAGCUCAAUCUUCAUUCUGCGAUUUUCUGGAAAUCAGCACAUCAACUACUCUGAAGCAUCUUCAGAGAUUUUGAUGAUCAAGUAACAACGAAGAACUCCUUCGAUCUUCAUCUGUUCCGUCUUCAAUCAAGAGAGAGACCGACCGAGAGACAAAUCCAGAGAGCGAGAGACAGAUCCUGAGCGCGAGAUCCAGCCAGAGAGGAAUCGUCGGAAUCUCUCUUGCGCGCGAGACUACCGGCAAAGCAGAACAAGAAAACGAUUGGAAGCUGUUGCUGCCGCUGCCGUCGUUACCACCAUUGCCAAUCGGCUUUGGAGCUCGAGAAGGUGCAGAUGAGGAAGUCAAGAUCCUCAAGCUAAAGAGAGACCGAUUUCCACCUUGAAUCGAUUCGGCCGUCAAACCCUAGAUCGCUCUUCGAGAUGCAGAGAGAGUCGGAGAGCGCGAUAAUCCCCUCAGCAAGAGAAUACCUCUGAGAGCAUCCGCGCGAACGGUUUUUUUAGAGAGAGAGAGAGAGAGAGAUCGUGAUCCAGAGAGAGCGGGAGCGAGAGAGCGUCUCCAAGAGAAAUCCCCCGUGAAUGGCCC